This is a long non-coding RNA of Solanum pennellii, 478 nucleotides long. RefSeq lists it as uncharacterized. NCBI's taxonomy places the organism in Eukaryota, Viridiplantae, Streptophyta, Magnoliopsida, Solanales, Solanaceae. The transcript is spliced from 3 exons. The record is from RefSeq and is a predicted model, not a curated record.
AUGGGAGGAGAAAGCUAGAAGUGUACCUGUCAUCGGGAUAAAUGACGAAACCUUGAGAAAGGCCUCUGAGGCCAUUGAUGACGUUUUCACUGCUAAAUCUCCAAGGAGUUGAAUCGGCAAUUAGCUCGUUUUCCAUCAUCGCCAAUCGACUGGAGAAAGUUCAACUGAAAUUUGUCAAAUCCAUAGCUAUCGGAUAGAGAAAGCUGAGAUCCAGAGGAAGAUUUAUCAGAUGGUGAACUUUCUGGAGAAGAGGAGGGAAGGGACAAAUUUGAAGGACGUGAAUAUAGCCCAAAGUUAGAGAACAUAUUAAUUGUGUCAUGUCAUUAUUUAAUUUUAUCUAUGCGUUAUUAAAUAAUCUAAGCUAGGUAUUAAAUUAAAUAUUGGUUGCCGUUACGUGUAUACCAUACAGUUGUAAGAUUGUAGCUAAAGUGAUGUAAUAAGCAAUACAUUUGUACUCAUAUAGAAAAAUAAAAUAAUA